CGGAUCGCAGGCUGCAACCCGCCUGCGUGAAGUCGGAAUUGCUAGUAAUCGCGGAUCAGCAUGCCGCGGUGAAUACGUUCCCGGGCCUUGUACACACCGCCCGUCACACCAUGAGAGCCGGUAAUACCCGAAGUCAGUAGUCUAACCGCAAGGAGGACGCUGCCGAAGGUAGGAUUGGCGAUUGGGGUGAAGUCGUAACAAGGUAGC
This 207-nucleotide ribosomal RNA is filed under the name uncultured bacterium. RNAcentral describes it as "partial 16S ribosomal RNA". It matches the Rfam family "Bacterial small subunit ribosomal RNA", at positions 1294 to 1500 of the family's 1533-position model. The record is from RNAcentral.